GACGAACGCUGGCGGCGUGCCUAAUACAUGCAAGUCGAACGCAGUGGGGACGGGUGAGUAAAACGUGGGUAACCUGCCAUCAGAGGGCAUAACACUUGGCAACAGGUGCUAAACCGCUACUGAUGGAUGGACCAGCGGGGCAUUGGCUAGUGGGUGGGGUAACGGCUCACCAAGGCCACGAUGCAUAGCGGACCUGAGAGGGUGAUCGGCCACACGGGAACUGAGACACGGCCCAGACUCCUACGGGAGGCAGCAGUGGGGAAUCUUCGGCAAUGGACGAAAGUCUGACCGAGCAACGCCGCGUGAGUGAAGAAGGUCUUCGGAUCGUAAAACUCUGUUGUUAGAGAAGCGGUAUCUAACGAGAAAGCAACGGCUAACUACGUGCCAGCCGCCGCGGUAAUUC
Molecule: ribosomal RNA, 403 nt
Filed under: uncultured bacterium
Lineage: Bacteria
Description: partial 16S ribosomal RNA
Rfam family: Bacterial small subunit ribosomal RNA
Source: RNAcentral